AACGCUGGCGGUCUGCUUAACACAUGCAAGUCGAACGCAACCUUCGGGUUGAGUGGCGGACGGGUGAGUAACGCGUGAGAAUCUGCCUUGGGGUCGGGGACAACCACUGGAAACGGUGGCUAAUACCGGAUAAGCCUUUGGGUAAAAAAUUUAUUGCCCCAAGAGGAGCUCGCGUCUGAUUAGCUAGUUGGUGAGGUAAGAGCUCACCAAGGCAGCGAUCAGUAGCUGGUCUGAGAGGACGAUCAGCCACACUGGGACUGAGACACGGCCCAGACUCCUACGGGAGGCAGCAGUGGGGAAUUUUCCGCAAUGGGCGAAAGCCUGACGGAGCAAGACCGCGUGAGGGAGGAAGGCUCUUGGGUUGUAAACCUCUUUUCUCAGGGAAGAAGCUCUGACGGUACCUGAGGAAUCAGCCUCGGCUAACUCCGUGCCAGCAGCCGCGGUAAUACGGAGGAGGCAAGCGUUAUCCGGAAUUAUUGGGCGUAAAGCGUCCGCAGGUGGCGAUUCAAGUCUGCUGUCAAAGCACGGGGCUUAACUCCGUUAAGGCAGUGGAAACUGAAUAGCUAGAGUGCCGUAGGGGUAGAGGGAAUUCCCGGUGUAGCGGUGAAAUGCGUAGAGAUCGGGAAGAACAUCGGUGGCGAAAGCGCUCUACUGGACGGCAACUGACACUCAGGGACGAAAGCUAGGGGAGCGAAUGGGAUUAGAUACCCCAGUAGUCCUAGCUGUAAACGAUGGAUACUAGGUGUAGCUUGUAUCGAGCCGAGCUGUGCCGAAGCUAACGCGGUUAAGUAUCCCGACUGGGGAGUACGC
Molecule: ribosomal RNA, 810 nt
Filed under: uncultured organism
Description: bacterial SSU rRNA
Rfam family: Bacterial small subunit ribosomal RNA
Source: RNAcentral